UUGUGACAUGAGAUACCUUUAAUAACCCAGAAGAAGAGAUUCUUGCUGAACAAAUACAAACGAUCUUAAAUACUCAGAUAUAUUUAUAGUGUUGGAAAAACAAUAAAUAACCAAAAAGCAUCAAACAUUUCCUAAAUGCAAUUACUGAAUCUUCCAACAGCUGUUUACAUUAUUUACUUCAUAAACAAAAAUAUAUUAUACAAUUGCAACCUGCAGAAAAACCUGUUUUGUUGUGGUUGCUGUAGCUUUCUGUAUCAAGCAAUCAAUCAUCUGCUGGACAAAGAAAAAUUUAAAAUAUAAUAUAGAAUUACCAAUUAUCAUUGAAGGUGUACCAAUUGAUAAUGUGAGUGAAAACAAAUUUUUGGGAGUCGUAAUUGAUAACAAAAUUUCAUGGAAACUCCACGUCAGACACAUAAAAACCAAAAUUUCCAGAAGCCUCGCAGUUUUGAACAAAGUGAAACCAUACCUUGAUAAAGAUGCACUUCGUACUCUGUACUGUACCCUGGUUCUUCCAUAUCUUACAUAUUGUGUGGAAGUGUGGGGAAAUACAUAUAAAAAUACAACUAAUCCAUUAGUCACAGUACAGAAACGAGCACUGCGUAUUAUUCACAAGGCUGGUUAUCUAGAUCAUACUCACAAAUUCUUUCUUCAGGCAAAGUGACUUAAAUUCCAGGAUCUGGUUAAUUACAAUAAAUCCAUAAUUUUGUAUAACGCUUUUACUAAACUUCUACCGGCAAAUUUACAAACUAGAUUUGAAAUUCGAGAAAAGGUUUAUAAUGUGAGAGGCUUUGGAGAAUUCAAAUUACCUUGAACUCGAACAACCCGUAAAGGUUUUUGUGUGUCUGUAUGUUGUGUGAAAAUCUGGAACAGUCUGAGUUUACAAUUGAAACAAUGCAAAAAUAUUCAUAGAUUUAAAUUCCUCUACAAACAGUUGGUCUGGUCACAGUAUACUCAAUGAUGGUUUUUAGUGUGCUCUGUAAUGUCUGUUCUCUUACCAUUGCUGGUAUGGAUUCCAAGAGAAAAAAUAAAUAAAUAAAUAAA
Molecule: long non-coding RNA, 1041 nt
Organism: Astatotilapia calliptera (eastern happy)
Lineage: Eukaryota; Metazoa; Chordata; Actinopteri; Cichliformes; Cichlidae
Source: Ensembl